AGCUGGUCCGACGGCAGUGGGUUAUCAGAACUUAUUAACAUUAGUGUCACUAAAGUUGUUAUACCACCCCCCCACUGCUAAAUUUGACUGGCUUUAA
This is an unclassified non-coding RNA of Cavia porcellus (domestic guinea pig), 97 nucleotides long. It matches the Rfam family "Y RNA". Rfam says of the family: Y RNAs are components of the Ro ribonucleoprotein particle (Ro RNP), in association with Ro60 and La proteins. The Y RNAs and Ro60 and La proteins are well conserved, but the function of the Ro RNP is not known. NCBI's taxonomy places the organism in Eukaryota, Metazoa, Chordata, Mammalia, Rodentia, Caviidae. The record is from Ensembl.